This 440-nucleotide ribosomal RNA is filed under the name uncultured bacterium. Its description in RNAcentral is "partial 16S ribosomal RNA". It matches the Rfam family "Bacterial small subunit ribosomal RNA", at positions 338 to 795 of the family's 1533-position model. The record is from RNAcentral.
CCUACGGGAGGCAGCAGUGGGGAAUAUUGGACAAUGGUGGGAACCCUGAUCCAGCCACGCCGCGUGAGUGAGGAAGUAUUUCGGUAUGUAAAGCUCUAUCAGCCGGGAAGAAAAUGACGGUACCUGAUCCAGAAGCCGCGUCUAACUACGUACCAGCAGCCGCGGGACUACGUAGGGGGCAAGCGUUAUCCGGAUUUACUGGGUGUAAUGGGAGCGUAGACGGCAGCACAGGUCUGGAGUGAAAUGCCGGGGCUUAACCCCGGAACUGCCUUGGAAACUGUGCAGCUAGAGUGCAGGAGAGGUAAGUGGAAUUCCUAGUGUAGCGGUGAAAUGCGUAGAUAUCAGGAAGAACACCAGUGGCGAAGGCGGCUUACCGGACUGUAACUGACGUUGAGGCACGAAAGCGUGGGUAGCAAACAGGAUUAGAUACCCUUGUAGUC